CACGUAGGCGGAUCUUUAAGUCAGGGGUGAAAUCCUGGAGCUCAACUCCAGAACUGCCUUUGAUACUGGGGAUCUCGAGUCCGGAAGAGGUGAGUGGAACUCCGAGUGUAGAGGUGAAAUUCGUUGAUAUCGACAGGAACGCCGGUGGCGAAAGCGGAUUGCUGGUCCUUUUCUGACGCUGAUGCGCGAAAGCCAGGGGAGCAAACG
RNAcentral lists this ribosomal RNA (207 nucleotides) under uncultured bacterium. Its description in RNAcentral is "partial 16S ribosomal RNA". It matches the Rfam family "Bacterial small subunit ribosomal RNA", at positions 568 to 774 of the family's 1533-position model. The record is from RNAcentral.